Molecule: ribosomal RNA, 812 nt
Filed under: uncultured Actinomycetes bacterium
Lineage: Bacteria; Bacillati; Actinomycetota; Actinomycetes
Description: bacterial SSU rRNA
Rfam family: Bacterial small subunit ribosomal RNA
Source: RNAcentral
CAGCUUGCUGCGGGUACUCGAGUGGCGAACGGGUGAGUAACACGUGGGUGAUCUGCCUUGCACUUCGGGAUAAGCUUGGGAAACUGGGUCUAAUACCGGAUAGGACAGCUGUUUAGUGUCAGUUGUGGAAAGUUUUUUCGGUGCAAGAUGAGCUCGCGGCCUAUCAGCUUGUUGGUGGGGUAAUGGCCUACCAAGGCGUCGACGGGUAGCCGGCCUGAGAGGGUGUACGGCCACAUUGGGACUGAGAUACGGCCCAGACUCCUACGGGAGGCAGCAGUGGGGAAUAUUGCACAAUGGGCGGAAGCCUGAUGCAGCGACGCCGCUGGGGGAUGAAGGCCUUCGGGUUGUAAACUCCUUUCGACAGGGACGAAGCGUAAGUGACGGUACCUGUAUAAGAAGCACCGGCUAACUACGUGCCAGCAGCCGCGGUAAUACGUAGGGUGCGAGCGUUGUCCGGAAUUACUGGGCGUAAAGAGCUCGUAGGUGGUUUGUCGCGUCGUCUGUGAAAUUCCGGGGCUUAACUCCGGGCGUGCAGGCGAUACGGGCUGACUUGAGUGCUGUAGGGGAGACUGGAAUUCCUGGUGUAACCGGUGAAAUGCGCAGAUAUCAGGAGGAACACCGAUGGCGAAGGCAGGUCUCUGGGCAGUAACUGACGCUGAGGAGCCGAAAGCAUGGGUAGCGAACUAGGAUUAGAUACCCUGGUAGUCCAUGCCCGUAAACGGUGGGCGCUAGGUGUAGGGGGCUUCCACGUCUUCUGUGCCGUAGCUAAACGUCAUAAGCGUCCCCGUCUCGGGGAUACGCCGUCAAGGCUA